Molecule: unclassified non-coding RNA, 220 nt
Filed under: Ascomycota sp.
Lineage: Eukaryota; Fungi; Ascomycota
Description: partial contains small subunit ribosomal RNA, internal transcribed spacer 1, and 5.8S ribosomal RNA
Rfam family: Eukaryotic small subunit ribosomal RNA (bases 1-47)
Source: RNAcentral
AAAGUCGUAACAAGGUUUCCGUAGGUGAACCUGCGGAAGGAUCAUUAUCGUAGGGCUUCGGCCCUGUCGAGAUAGAACCCUUGCCUUUUUGAGUACCUUUCGUUUCCUCGGCAGGCUCGCCUGCCAAUGGGGACCACAAAAAAACACUUUGCAGUACCUGUAAUAGUCUGAACAAACAAAACAAAAAUCAAAACUUUCAACAACGGAUCUCUUGGUUCUG